RNAcentral lists this ribosomal RNA (483 nucleotides) under uncultured bacterium. Its description in RNAcentral is "partial 16S ribosomal RNA". It matches the Rfam family "Bacterial small subunit ribosomal RNA", at positions 30 to 507 of the family's 1533-position model. The record is from RNAcentral.
UUGAACGCUGGCGGCAGGCCUAACACAUGCCAGUCGAGCGGAUGAAGGGAGCUUGCUCCUGGAUUCAGCGGCGGACGGGUGAGUAAUGCCUAGGAAUCUGCCUGGUAGUGGGGGAUAACGUCCGGAAACGGGCGCUAAUACCGCAUACGUCCUGAGGGAGAAAGUGGGGGAUCUUCGGACCUCACGCUAUCAGAUGAGCCUAGGUCGGAUUAGCUAGUUGGUGGGGUAAAGGCCUACCAAGGCGACGAUCCGUAACUGGUCUGAGAGGAUGAUCAGUCACACCGGAACUGAGACACGGUCCAGACUCCUACGGGAGGCAGCAGUGGGGAAUAUUGGACAAUGGGCGAAAGCCUGAUCCAGCCAUGCCGCGUGUGUGAAGAAGGUCUUCGGAUUGUAAAGCACUUUAAGUUGGGAGGAAGGGCAGUAAGUUAAUACCUUGCUGUUUUGACGUUACCAACAGAAUAAGCACCGGCUAACUUCGUG